UACGUAGGGGGCGAGCGUUAUCCGGAUUUAUUGGGCGUAAAGCGUGUGUAGGCGGUUUGUUAAGUUUAAGAUUAAAGCCCGAGGCUUAACCUCGGUUCGUCUUAAAAACUGGCAGACUUGAGUGCAGUAGAGGCAAGUGGAAUUUCUAGUGUAGCGGUUAAAUGCGUAGAUAUUAGAAGGAACACCAGUGGCGAAGGCGGCUUGCUGGGCUGUUACUGACGCUGAGACACGAAAGCGUGGGGAGCAAAUA
RNAcentral lists this ribosomal RNA (250 nucleotides) under uncultured prokaryote. RNAcentral describes it as "partial 16S ribosomal RNA". It matches the Rfam family "Bacterial small subunit ribosomal RNA", at positions 524 to 774 of the family's 1533-position model. The record is from RNAcentral.